CUAGAUGUUUCCUAAAGGAGAUAUGCAAAUGGCUAUUCAGCUCAUUAAAUGUUGAUUAACAUCAGUGGUUUCAGAGAAAACAAAAGUGAAAUACAGACUCUCAAAUAGUGUUUCAUUGAAUAUCCUUUCAUUAUAAUAUUGAGAAUGAAUAAAAAAUUGCUCAUAGGAUGGGGCCACCAUCUGUAUAAAGUUUGCUCUUUUUUCCCAUGUGGGUUUUCUCUAGGUACCCUGACUUCCUCCCACACCCCAAAGCUGUGCACACGAGGUGAACUAGCGUGUCCACAUAGUCCUAAUCUGUGUGAGUGUGGGUGUGAGUGCACCCUCUGAUGGGAUGUCAUCCUGUCCUGGGUCGUUCUUCUUUAGCUCUGAACUGCCAGGAGUGGCUCCAACCACCUGUAACCCUGAACUUGUCUAAGCAGGACCUCCAGUACUAUAUUGAAUAAAAGUUGCAGGACCGGACAUCCUUAUCCUCUUGGUGAUCCUAAAGAAUAUGGUCUACUUUGAUGCUGUGAUUUGAAUGUGUCCUCAAAAAGACAUGGUCUCCCUUUAUCGCUGAAGCGGAGCACAGGGAUUAUAGCUCAUUGCAGCCUUCGGCUUCUGGGUUCAAGUGAUUAUCUUGCCUCAGUCUCCCAAGUUGCUGAGUACCUGAGAC
Molecule: non-coding RNA, 652 nt
Organism: Chlorocebus sabaeus (green monkey)
Lineage: Eukaryota; Metazoa; Chordata; Mammalia; Primates; Cercopithecidae
Source: RefSeq, a predicted model, not a curated record